AACGCGAAGAACCUUACCAACCCUUGACAUGGCAGUGACCGUUCCAGAGAUGGUCCUUUCUCGCAAGAGACACUGCACACAGGUGCUGCAUGGCUGUCGUCAGCUCGUGUCGUGAGAUGUUCGGUUAAGUCCGGCAACGAGCGCAACCCACGCCUUUAGUUGCCAGCAUUCAGUUGGGCACUCUAAAGGAACUGCCGGUGAUAAGCCGGAGGAAGGUGUGGAUGACGUCAAGUCCUCAUGGCCCUUACGGGUUGGGCUACACACGUGCUACAAUGGUGGUGACAAUGGGUUAAUCCCUAAAAGCCAUCUCAGUUCGGAUUGUCGUCUGCAACUCGGCGGCAUGAAGUCGGAAUCGCUAGUAAUCGCGUAACAGCAUGACGCGGUGAAUACGUUCCCGGGUCUUGUACACACCG
RNAcentral lists this ribosomal RNA (413 nucleotides) under uncultured bacterium. RNAcentral's name for it is "bacterial SSU rRNA". It matches the Rfam family "Bacterial small subunit ribosomal RNA", at positions 958 to 1392 of the family's 1533-position model. The record is from RNAcentral.